UAGGGAAUCUUCCGCAAUGGGCGAAAGCCUGACGGAGCAACGCCGCGUGAGUGAUGAAGGUCUUCGGAUCGUAAAACUCUGUUGUUAGGGAAGAACAAAUUUGUUAGUAACUGAACAAGUCUUGACGGUACCUAACCAGAAAGCCACGGCUAACUACGUGCCAGCAGCCGCGGUAAUACGUAGGUGGCAAGCGUUAUCCGGAAUUAUUGGGCGUAAAGCGCGCGUAGGCGGGUUCUUAAGUCUGAUGUGAAAGCCCACGGCUCAACCGUGGAGGGUCAUUGGAAACUGGGAAACUUGAGUGCAGAAGAGGAGAGUGGAAUUCCAUGUGUAGCGGUGAAAUGCGCAGAGAUAUGGAGGAACACCAGUGGCGAAGGCGGCUCUCUGGUCUGUAACUGACGCUGAUGUGCGAAAGCGUGGGGAUCAAACAGG
This 429-nucleotide ribosomal RNA is filed under the name Bacillota bacterium. Its description in RNAcentral is "Firmicutes bacterium partial 16S ribosomal RNA". It matches the Rfam family "Bacterial small subunit ribosomal RNA", at positions 355 to 776 of the family's 1533-position model. Lineage: Bacteria; Bacillati; Bacillota. The record is from RNAcentral.